CGGGCGCGCUUGAUGACUGUC
RNAcentral lists this non-coding RNA (21 nucleotides) under Arabidopsis thaliana (thale cress). The record is from RNAcentral. Lineage: Eukaryota; Viridiplantae; Streptophyta; Magnoliopsida; Brassicales; Brassicaceae.